This 79-nucleotide transfer RNA is filed under the name Felis catus (domestic cat). It matches the Rfam family "tRNA". From Rfam's summary of the family: Transfer RNA (tRNA) molecules are approximately 80 nucleotides in length. Their secondary structure includes four short double-helical elements and three loops (D, anti-codon, and T loops). Lineage: Eukaryota; Metazoa; Chordata; Mammalia; Carnivora; Felidae. The record is from Rfam by way of RNAcentral.
GCCUGGGUGGCUCAGUUGGUUAAGUGUCAGACUUAGGUCAUGAUCUCACAGUUCGUGGGUUCAAGCCCCACAUCAGGCU